CCUACGGGUGGCAGCAGUGAGGAAUAUUGGUCAAUGGCCGGAAGGCUGAACCAGCCAAGCCGCGUGAAGGACGAAGGUGCCAAGCAUUGUAAACUUCUUUUGUCAAGGGACAAAAUCAGGCUCGAGAGCAUGACCGAGGGUACUUGAAGAAAAAGCCCCGGCUAACUACGUGCCAGCAGCCGCGGUAAUACGUAGGGGGCAAGCGUUAUCCGGAUUUACUGGGUGUAAAGGGUGCGUAGACGGCUGUGCAAGCCAGAUGUGAAAGCCCGGGGCUCAACCCCGGGACUGCAUUUGAAACUGUGUGGCUGGAGUGUCGUAGAGGCAGGCGGAAUUCCUGGUGUAGCGGUGAAAUGCGUAGAUAUUAGGAGGAACACCAGUGGCGAAGGCGGCCUACUGGACGAUAACUGACGUUGAGGCUCGAAAGCGUGGGGAGCAAACAGGAUUAGAUACCCCUGUAGUC
Molecule: ribosomal RNA, 460 nt
Filed under: uncultured bacterium
Lineage: Bacteria
Description: partial 16S ribosomal RNA
Rfam family: Bacterial small subunit ribosomal RNA
Source: RNAcentral